Molecule: ribosomal RNA, 1096 nt
Filed under: Paracaprella pusilla
Lineage: Eukaryota; Metazoa; Arthropoda; Malacostraca; Amphipoda; Caprellidae
Description: partial large subunit ribosomal RNA
Rfam family: Eukaryotic large subunit ribosomal RNA
Source: RNAcentral
CGAAAAGGAAUGAGCCCAGCGCAGAACGUUCCGGGGCACUCGCCCUGAGAAUGAAUGUUGCGUUAAGGAUAUUGGCAUACACCCAUGGCAGUUACACUUUGCUAAGUCAGCCUCGAAUGGUUCUCGUGAAGCCGGUAACACGGUGAGACUCCAGGGAGGGUGUUAGACCCGUGUGAAGGUGCAAUCUGCUUGGGCAAGCCGAUAUCCCGAGAGUCGCGUUGUUUGAACAUGCAGCGCUAAGCAGGUCGUAGACUCGAUCUAAGGCUAAAUAUGUCCACAGAACCGAUAGUUAACAAGUACCGUGAGGGAAAGUUGAAAAGCACUCCGUAACGGAGAGUCAAAAGACCGUGAAACCACUCAGAGUAUAAGCCAAUGGUGUCUGGAAGGUCCUGUGCUUACAUCUUGGUGUCAAGGACUCAUGCGAACCUCAGCACUUGCGGGAGCAAUCUCCGUUGCUUUGGUAAGCUUGUCCGCUGAAGCACUCCGUUGACCCACCUGGCUCGUUGUGAGGUGUCCUGAGAGCAAAGCGAAGUGUUAAGAUUGGCUUGGAGUUGGGCGUGGGCGUCUCGAUGCCUUUCGCACUCUCCUUUUCGAGCACUUCUUCAGUUCUAUUCGCACAAAGUGUGGUAGUCUUGGAGUGUGCGCUGCUUGACGCUCUCUGGAACCAUCCUCUGCGACGAAGCUUCAAUGCCUUAGUGAGCGGCCGUCUUCCUCCUCGGGAGUCGGUACAUUGGCGCGGCUUGCACACUGUCGGUGCUCCGCUGUUCAACUCUGGCGCAAGGUGUUACGUCCGAUACCAUUGGUCACGUCUCGAAACACGGGCCAAGGAGUAUAGCGUGUGUGCAAGUCUAAGGGUUCCACAAAACCUGGAGGCGUAGUGAAAGCGAGUUAUGGUGUCUCACUGGACUGAUGGAGAAGGCAGUGAUGCGUGAUCCCGCAAGUCCCGGACUCGUCGUCUGCACUGCUUCGGUUGUGUUAGCGCGAGCACCGCAGAGCACAUACGCUAUGACCCGAAAGAUAGUGAACUAUGCUUGGCGAGGGUGAAGCCCCAGGAAACUGGGGUGGAGGCCCGUAGCCGUUGUGACGUGCAAAUCCA